UAGGGAAUAUUGGGCAAUGGGCGAAAGCCUGACCCAGCCAUGCCGCGUGAGCGAUGACGGUCCUCGAGAUUGUAAAGCUCUUUUCUGAGGAAAGAACAUCCGGGAUAGGAAAUGAUCCCGGCUUGACGGUACCUCAGGAAUAAGGAACGGCUAACUCCGUGCCAGCAGCCGCGGUAAUACGGAGGUUCCAAGCGUUGUUCGGAAUUACUGGGCGUAAAGGGAGCGCAGGCGGGCAAGUCAGUCUGAAGUGAAAUCCCGGGGCUCAACCUCGGACUUGCUUCGGAUACUGCUUGUCUUGAGUUCGUGAUAGGAAGACGGAAUUCAGGGUGUAGCGGUGAAAUGCACAGAUAUCCUGAGGAACACCGGUGGCGAAAGCGGUCUUCUGGCGCGAAACUGACGCUGAGGCUCGAAAGCGUGGGUAGCAAACGG
Molecule: ribosomal RNA, 429 nt
Filed under: uncultured bacterium
Lineage: Bacteria
Description: bacterial SSU rRNA
Rfam family: Bacterial small subunit ribosomal RNA
Source: RNAcentral